AUAUAUAUAAAUAAUAUGUAGUUUGUAUAAUAUGUAGUCACACAAUGACUUUUUAAAAUCAUUCAUUUUUUUUAUGAUAUUGUGAUUGCAUGUAUCAACCAGAGCAGCAUUUACUUUACAUCUUAGCCUAGUAACGUUAGUUAUUCAUAUUAUAAUAUGUAGUUUGGUGAUCUAUUAUUUUUUUAUUUGUUCUUCUCUUUCUCUGCAGGUUCCUUAAUCCCUCACCUUUAAAAAAAAAAAAAAAAAAACAGCACCUCACUACAUUAAAAAGGCACUUUUAAGAGCCACAUUUGUCUUGUAUCUUGUUACUCUCUUUACUGUUGUAUUGUUUUCUAUCUCUUGCUGUCUUAAUGUCUCCCCCCCCCCAUUCCUCUGAGUGUGGUUUUUGUUUGUUUGUUUUGUCUUUUUUUUUGUCCGUGUGUUUAUAGUGUGUUUAUCUUUUGUGCCAUGUCUGAUCCUGAGAUGGACUGUCUCCUAAAUGAGAUGAGUGACCUUGUCGAUCAGGCUGAACAUCAAGCUCACCUCCGACAGCUCAUUAGCAUGCACCAGGAAGCAGAGCCAUCCACCAGUCAGCCUUCCACCUGUAAUCCAUCCACCAGCCAGCCAUCAAACAGCAAGCAAGAUGUUAGGUGGAUUAAGAGGGACAGUGAUGGAAACAUUAUUUACAGCAGGCCCAGAUCAUCCCGGAAACAAGCAGGUACAAGUCACAGCCAGAGUCGAAAGACUGGUGUCUCUCAUAUCAGGGCUCCGGAAACCAGUGCGGAAAUGACCAGUGACUUUCUUUCCAUUACUGCAGAGUCCUUCCUUCAAGAGCUUAAAAGCUCACUGUUUGAGGACAUACAUGAGGAUGAAACGGCACUUCAAGCCUCAACAGACUGGUUGACCCGAAAGAACCUCAUAUCAGGGUGGUGGGAGAAAGAGAGACCCCGACUGGUCAACACCAUGGUGGCUCGACAACAUGUGGCAACCCGGAUCUGCCAACAUUGUGGAAAUGGUCCAGCCGUUAUCCGUUGUUGUGACUGCCGACCACACCCAUUCCUCUGUGGCCAGUGUGAUGUCAGGGUCCACCGAGGUCACGUGUUCCACAACAGGGAUUCGAUGACCCAUGCAUUCUUUAAUCCAUUGCCUCCCACAACUUGUGUUGUGGAGAGGGUUCUAACCCAGUGUGGUAAGUUGUAG
This 1179-nucleotide long non-coding RNA is filed under the name Carassius auratus (goldfish). RNAcentral's name for it is "lncRNA (ENSCARG00000057813.1)". Lineage: Eukaryota; Metazoa; Chordata; Actinopteri; Cypriniformes; Cyprinidae. The record is from RNAcentral.